Columba livia (rock pigeon) is the source of this 1637-nucleotide long non-coding RNA. RefSeq lists it as uncharacterized. NCBI's taxonomy places the organism in Eukaryota, Metazoa, Chordata, Aves, Columbiformes, Columbidae. The transcript is spliced from 3 exons. The record is from RefSeq and is a predicted model, not a curated record.
GGUGGGGUGGCUGGGUUUAGCUCUUCAGCUGUGGGUAAUUUUAAGGAAAUUACAUUUAUUUUAUUAGAGCUUUCUUACUUGUUCUUCAGGUGCACAUUGUUUUCUGACUGCUACUGCACCAAAUGUCCUCUCCUUUAUUUAUUGUUUUUUUUCCUUCUUUUGGAUUCUCUUAUUUGAGCAGAUCUAAACAUCCUCUGGUGUUUGUCUUCUUGUAGAGGAAAAUCAAGUGAAAGUUUUGGUACCAUAAAAGAGCUGAUUCUGUUUAAUGCUUGCCUCUGGUUACCUACCCUUGGCAGCCCCUGGUUUCAGUGCCAUGACCCAAGGGGCUGCCCCAUCCAGAGGUCCAGCUGCUCUGAGCACAUCUCCCCCCUGGAAAAUUAACUAUUUCUGGCAAAAACAGCCAGAAUUUUUGAAAUGCUCCGGCUGCUACAGAAACCUGGUUGUGGUUCAUGAAUGGAUGAGCACAAGUGUGACAGGCCAGAGCUGUUCCGGGCUGGGUGACACUCGGGAGUGGAGUUUCUCAUGAGCGCCGAAAGUGGGUCUGAAUAACACCUGCAAAAACAGAGCAACGAUCUUCUGCAGCAGCCUGAGCAGAAGCUGCCAUGGGAAUGGAGCAACCAGGUCAUACCGUACCCCAGGCGGUGCCGUAGCUGGGGGUGCUCACAGGAUUGCUCUGCUGGGCUUGGUGGGACUUCACUUGCUGGUUUUGAAACAGUCCUCAGCCAUGCACGUGUUUAAAUCCCUAAGGGGGAGAGAAAAACACCCGAACCGUUCACACAUCACCUGUGCAUGACAUCUUGCCUCCUAAAUUGGAUUCUCGGGAUGCCUUCAAGUGGGAUGGCCCUUAAAACCAGCAGAGUUCCCCCAGUGCUUUGAGCAAAUCAUGCUGGAAUUUGUUUCCACCCAUGAAUGUCACAUGCAAUCAGCAUGUACGUGUGUCCCCGCCUGACCCUGCAGUGGAUCAAGGAAAGGUGAAUAAGACCUCAGUUAACAUCAGUCACCUGUAACUUCAUGGACCUUUAAGCAACAAAUCAACUAAGUUCUUCAUUGUUCUGACUUCAAGAGAAACCAGCACCCGUUUCUUGCCUUUGAGUCUGUGAGGAUGAAGUUAUUUGCUUUUAAAAUUCAGUGCAUGCUCAUGGUUUUCUUUUUCCCGAAGUAUCUGCACCCGGUGACUGAGCGCCCCAAAUAUUUACUGGCUUGCAGAUGGCACGGUGGGAAAGGCCAACUUCGUUUAUUUCGUCUAGAUCCCCAGGCAAUACACAUCAUGGGCUGCUCUGUUGCCAUUUAAGUAUUUAUAUAGAGCUAUCAGAUGCCUGACCCAUUUCCUUUUAUAUUGAAUAUAUCCCUCUUGCUAAAUGGACGUGGCUUCUUCCACAUCCGUUGCCAUUUAGAGUAACAUCUAACUGUUUGCUGUGAUUUAGGGGGCGGAAUCAUAUUUUGCCAUAAAUAAUCCUCUUGUUAUGAACUUUUCUCACCAUCUGAUGCUCUGAUAUUCCAAGGGGUGUUGCGUUUUCAGAGUGCGAGCCCACACUGCCUUGCUUUGAUAGUUCUUUUGGGAAGCCUGCGUGGGAAGAUGGAAAUUGUAAUAUUCUGAAUUUCUUAGCCUUCAUUAUAUUUUAAUGGAUUUUUUUAUA